GGGGGUCCAAAAAUGGAGGGGGGGGCUCAAAAUGGGAGUUGGGGGAACCUCGGUCCCAUUGGAGAGCCCGAACCCAUUGGAGAACCCAAAAUCCUAUGGGUCAUGGGGGACCCCGACCCCACUGGAGACCCCAAUUCCUAUAGGAGGACCCCAAAAAUGGGGAGGGGGUUCCCAAAAUGGAAAUGGGGGGGGGGCCCAAAACUGGGAUGGGAGGAGGGGGGGUCAUCCUGACCCCAUUGGAGACCCCAAACCCAAUGGAGACCCCAAAGCCCAUGGAGACCCCAUAGAUCCACUGGAGACCCCAAAUCCAAAGGAGACCCCAAACCCUAUAGGUGCAGGGGGACCCCAAAAUGGGGAGGGGUCCCAAAAUUGGAGGAAGGGUCCCAAAAUUGGGAUGGGGAAGUGGUCCCAAAACUGGGGGGGGGGUCAUCCUGACCCCAUUGGAGACCCCAAACCCCAUCGAUCCACUGGAGACCCCGAAGCCAAUGGGGACAAUCCCAAAAAGAUUUUUGGGGUGAAAAAAAGAGGGGAAAAAAAAAACCCCAAAACCAGUGGGGGAGGAACUCACCCCAUAUCCUGUCCAGAGCAGCAGUGGGAAAGAAAUCCAGAAUGGGAUAUUGGCCCCAAAAAUGCCCUUUUUACCCCCAAAAAACCACUUUUUUUUUUUACCCUAAAAGUGACCCCAUAGGCAAUAGAGGGAAGCAGCGGACUACAGCUCCCAUGAUGCACCACGGCCACGUGGGACAGGAAAGGUGGCCAUGUUGGCAGGGGGCAGCCAAUCAGCAUCGAGAUCGGGGCGCAAGGCAUUGUGGGAAAUGCAGUGCAGACCCAUAGAGGUGCAACACUGCCCUAUAGAAACCCCAUAGAGGUGCCAUCGUGGGACCCACAGCUCGGCCCUAUAGAAACCCCAUAGAGGUGCCAUACCCCAGCCCUAUAGAUACCCCACAUCAGCCCCAUACCCAGCCCUAUAUGCACCCCAUAAAGACCCCGUACCACAGCCCUAUAAAGACCCCAUAUCACCCCAUCCACAUCCCAUAAAGGCCCCGUAUAACCCCAUCCCCACCUCAAUACCCAAACCCUAUAAAGACCCCAUAUCACCCGAUACCCCAGCCCUAUAAACACCCCAUAUCAUCCCCAUACCCAGCCCUAUAAACACCCCAUAUCACCCACCCCCACCCCAAUACCCAACCCAUAUAGAGACCCCAUAUCACCCCACCCCCACCCCAAUACCCAAACCCUAUAAACACCCCAUAUCAUCCCCAUACCCAGCCCUAUAAACA
RNAcentral lists this long non-coding RNA (1280 nucleotides) under Phasianus colchicus (ring-necked pheasant). RNAcentral's name for it is "lncRNA (ENSPCLG00000017734.1)". Lineage: Eukaryota; Metazoa; Chordata; Aves; Galliformes; Phasianidae. The record is from RNAcentral.